GACGAACGCGGGCGGCGUGCCUAAUACAUGCAAGUCGAACGCACUCUCGUUUAGAUUGAAGGAGCUUGCUCCUGAUUGAUAAACAUUUGAGUGAGUGGCGGACGGGUGAGUAACACGUGGGUAACCUGCCCUAAAGUGGGGGAUAACAUUUGGAAACAGAUGCUAAUACCGCAUAAAACCUAACACCGCAUGGUGUAGGGUUGAAAGAUGGUUUCGGCUAUCACUUUAGGAUGGACCCGCGGUGCAUUAGUUAGUUGGUGAGGUAAAGGCUCACCAAGACCGUGAUGCAUAGCCGACCUGAGAGGGUAAUCGGCCACACUGGGACUGAGACACGGCCCAGACUCCUACGGGAGGCAGCAGUAGGGAAUCUUCCACAAUGGACGAAAGUCUGAUGGAGCAACGCCGCGUGAGUGAAGAAGGUUUUCGGAUCGUAAAACUCUGUUGUUGGAGAAGAAUGUAUCUGAUAGUAACUGAUCAGGUAGUGACGGUAUCCAACCAGAAAGCCACGGCUAACUACGUGCCAGCAGCCGCGGUAAUACGUAGGUGGCAAGCGUUGUCCGGAUUUAUUGGGCGUAAAGCGAGCGCAGGCGGUUUCUUAAGUCUGAUGUGAAAGCCUUCGGCUCAACCGAAGAAGUGCAUCGGAAACUGGGAAACUUGAGUGCAGAAGAGGACAGUGGAACUCCAUGUGUAGCGGUGAAAUGCGUAGAUAUAUGGAGGAACACCAGUGGCGAAGGCGGCUGUCUGGUCUGUAACUGACGCUGAGGCUCGAAAGCAUGGGUAGCAAACAGGAU
RNAcentral lists this ribosomal RNA (791 nucleotides) under Latilactobacillus sakei. RNAcentral describes it as "bacterial SSU rRNA". It matches the Rfam family "Bacterial small subunit ribosomal RNA", at positions 28 to 778 of the family's 1533-position model. The record is from RNAcentral. Lineage: Bacteria; Bacillati; Bacillota; Bacilli; Lactobacillales; Lactobacillaceae.